GAUUCGUUAGCUCAGUUGGUAGAGCAUCUGACUUUUAAUCAGAGGGUCGGGAGUUCGAGCCUCCCACGGAUCA
Transfer RNA from Aerococcus urinae, 73 nucleotides. It matches the Rfam family "tRNA". From Rfam's summary of the family: Transfer RNA (tRNA) molecules are approximately 80 nucleotides in length. Their secondary structure includes four short double-helical elements and three loops (D, anti-codon, and T loops). The record is from Rfam. NCBI's taxonomy places the organism in Bacteria, Bacillati, Bacillota, Bacilli, Lactobacillales, Aerococcaceae.